ACGAGUGAGGGUCUCUCAGGCCCGACCUCCCAACCCUUUGUUUACCGAACCAUCGUUGCUUCGGCGGGUCCGUCCCUUGGACCGCCGGGGGGGCUUUACCCCCCUGGCCCGCGCCCGCCGACAGCCCCCCAUUUAAAACUCUUUAUGAAUCGUGUCUCGCGUCUGAAUCAUGAUUAUACCAAAUCAAAAACA
Molecule: unclassified non-coding RNA, 192 nt
Filed under: soil metagenome
Description: partial internal transcribed spacer 1
Source: RNAcentral